GAUGAACGCUGGCGGCGUGCCUAAUACAUGCCAGUCGAGCGAACAGACGAGGAGCUUGCUCCUCUGACGUUAGCGGCGGACGGGUGAGUAACACGUGGAUAACCUACCUAUAAGACUGGGAUAACUUCGGGAAACCGGAGCUAAUACCGGAUAAUAUAUUGAACCGCAUGGUUCAAUAGUGAAAGACGGUUUUGCUGCCACUUAUAGAUGGAUCCGCGCCGCAUUAGCUAGUUGGUAAGGUAACGGCUUACCAAGGCGACGAUGCGUAGCCGACCUGAGAGGGUGAUCGGCCACACUGGAACUGAGACACGGUCCAGACUCCUACGGGAGGCAGCAGUAGGGAAUCUUCCGCAGUGGGCGAAAGCCUGACGGAGCAACGCCGCGUGAGUGAUGAAGGUCUUCGGAUCGUAAAACUCUGUUAUUAGGGAAGAACAAAUGUGUAAGUAACUAUGCACGUCUUGACGGUACCUAAUCAGAAAGCCACGGCUAACUACGUG
Molecule: ribosomal RNA, 497 nt
Filed under: uncultured bacterium
Lineage: Bacteria
Description: partial 16S ribosomal RNA
Rfam family: Bacterial small subunit ribosomal RNA
Source: RNAcentral